AUGUAGUUGGUCGGUAUGGGAUCCCCAUUUUGGAGUUCUUUGGAGGUGUUUCCUCAUUUUGGGGGUCAGUAGAGGGUUCCUUAUGGUGGGUAUCAGUAGAGGAUACUGAUGUUGGAAGUCAGUGAGGUCUACCCAUGUAGUUGGUCAUUUAGUUAAUCAGUAUCAGUUCUUUAUGUUGGGGUCAGUGAGGACCCUAAGUAGUUGGCUAAUGAGGACCCCCACCCCAUUUAGUUGGUAAGUAGCCGUUCCUU
Molecule: non-coding RNA, 251 nt
Organism: Pelobates cultripes (western spadefoot toad)
Lineage: Eukaryota; Metazoa; Chordata; Amphibia; Anura; Pelobatidae
Source: the annotation of a GenBank genome assembly